Molecule: ribosomal RNA, 403 nt
Filed under: bacterium
Lineage: Bacteria
Description: partial 16S ribosomal RNA
Rfam family: Bacterial small subunit ribosomal RNA
Source: RNAcentral
UGGGGAAUAUUGCACAAUGGGGGAAACCCUGAUGCAGCGACGCCGCGUGAACGAAGAAGGUAUUCGUAUCGUAAAGUUCUGUCCUAUGGGAAGAUAAUGACAGUACCAUAGAAGAAAGCUCCGGCUAAAUACGUGCCAGCAGCCGCGGUAAUACGUAUGGAGCGAGCGUUGUCCGGAAUUAUUGGGCGUAAAGGGUACGCAGGCGGUUUAAUAAGUCGAAUGUUAAAGAUCGGGGCUCAACCCCGUAAAGCAUUGGAAACUGAUAAACUUGAGUAGUGGAGAGGAAAGUGGAAUUCCUAGUGUAGUGGUGAAAUACGUAGAUAUUAGGAGGAAUACCAGUCGCGAAGGCGACUUUCUGGACACAAACUGACGCUGAGGUACGAAAGCGUGGGGAGCAAACAGG